CUUUCAACCUGCACUCUCAUUGAAACAAACUGAGUGCAAUUUAAACCAAAUCCAAAUUUCACGCCCCAAAGGGACUCCAGCUCAGUGCACUCUUAACGUGCUCAGGAGAACCCCAAACUUGAUGAAAUCGUAGUUACAGGUAUGUAGCCGUGUUGGUCUGCCGUAUUCAAAACAAAAUUUAAAAAAGUAACUUAGUCUCUACGGUGCUACUGGAAGGAUUUUUUUUAUUUUGAUGAAGUUGGUUCUCCUUGGUGUCGCAUCACAUUCCCCCCGCUAAUAUCAGGUCAUGCCUCACAAAUAUCCUUGCAUUACAGUAUACUUGCUUAAAAAAAACAAAAAAGAAUUACAUGCAAGAACAGAAAUGGCACUGAACUGAAUCAAUUGGGUGGUGAUUUAUUUGGAAUAGCUGUGGAAACAAAUCCUUGAAAAAUAAAAACAACAGGAGAAUAAUAAAAGUAAGAAUAUUUUAAAAUGGAAAUAUAAUUUUUUAAUAAAAAAAUGCAGAGGAGAGAAUGAAUUAAAAUAAUUUUAUGAAUUAAAAUAAUUAAAAUAAUAUUAUGGAAAUAAUAUGGCCAGUGCCCACCUUGCCAAUGACGAAGAUGUUGGUGGCGAAGCUGUUGCCAUUGGUGUCCUUGACGUGGACCACGUCAAAGGAACCGGGGUGCCUCUCGCGGUUGGUGAUUACCCCGAUGCGCCCCAAGUUGGCACCCCCCGUCACCAUGCAGAGGUUGCCUGUCAGAGAGAAGAGGGAGGGAAAGGGUCAGAAGGUGCCUGGGCAACAAUGGUCCUGCGAGGCGGAAUUGGGACUGGCAGGGGGGACAGAUUAGAUAGAUAGAUAGACAGACAGACAUAUGCAUGUAUAUGGAAAUAAUAAAAUAAAACUGCUUCAAAAAAUAUGGGUGCUCUGGGAGCCUCCAGGGCCAGAGGCAGUCUCCCCCCCAUUGGGGAAGGAUUCCGGCGCUCUCGAUGCGCUCACUACCUAUGUCAAACUUGAUGAAGUCGGUGAUCAUGCCCGUCUGCAGGUCGACCUGGACGGUGUCGUUGACCUUGACCAGGGGGUCUGGGUAGUGGAUGGUGCGGGCGUCGUGCGUCACUAGGCGGGGGGUGCCCAUGGUGCCCACCAGGAUACGGCGCACCUUGCACAGCUUGUACUGCCAGGAGGAAUGAGAGAAAUCUGUCCUUUUGUCAAUAUUAAGAAAAGGCUCCCUCAACCUUGCCCCUCUAGAUGUUUUUGAGACUACAAUUCCCAUCACCCCUGACCACUGGUCCUGCUAUCUAGUGAUCAUGGGAGUUGUAGGCCAAAAACAUCUGGAGGGCAGAAGUUGAGGAAGCCUGAUUAAGAGGAUACCAGAAAGGUGAGUCUUUCUGUAAAAACGGUAUUUGAAUCUGGUCUAACUCAUGAGGGAUUUAAAUCACAAAAGCACUCCGAGCACUGAUCAUUCCUUCCUCUGGUUGUCCAUCUUAAGCCAGCAAGGCUGAGUCUUUCGGUAAGAAAAGGAUUCAAAUCGAGUCCCCCAAUUCUCACCUUGGCCUCCUCGGGGCUGAUGCAGUGCACGGCAAAGCGCCCCUUGGUGUCAUAAACCAGGCGGAAGUGCUCGCCCGUCUUCUCGAUGCUGAUCACGUCUGCGGGGAGAGAGGGCGGUCGUUACAGUGGGAUGCCAGUGUGGUGCAACUGUCACGUAAACCCAGUUUUCCGCCCUGCAGAAUGUCCCACCGCUGGAAAUCGAGCAUUUCAAACCCCGCUACUGACACCUAGGGCCUCACCCAUGAAGCCCGCCGGGUAGGUGAUGUCGGUGCGAACCUUGCCAUCAAUCUUUACAAAGCGCUGCAUGCAGAUCUUCUUGACCUCGUCGCCCGUCAGGGCAUAUUUGAGCCGGUUGCGGAGGAAAAUCACGAGCGGGAGGCACUCGCGCAACUUGUGGGGUCCUGUCGACGGGCGCGGCGC
Non-coding RNA from Podarcis lilfordi (Lilford's wall lizard), 1945 nucleotides. NCBI's taxonomy places the organism in Eukaryota, Metazoa, Chordata, Lepidosauria, Squamata, Lacertidae. The record is from the annotation of a GenBank genome assembly.